This is a non-coding RNA of Myotis brandtii (Brandt's bat), 74 nucleotides long. NCBI's taxonomy places the organism in Eukaryota, Metazoa, Chordata, Mammalia, Chiroptera, Vespertilionidae. The record is from Rfam.
GCCAGUGUUGCUCAAUGGUUAGAGCAUCUGCCUGCACAUUGAAGGGUCAUGGGUUUGAUUCCUAGUCAAGGGCA